This 262-nucleotide ribosomal RNA is filed under the name uncultured Streptococcus sp. RNAcentral describes it as "partial 16S ribosomal RNA". It matches the Rfam family "Bacterial small subunit ribosomal RNA", at positions 1120 to 1382 of the family's 1533-position model. Lineage: Bacteria; Bacillati; Bacillota; Bacilli; Lactobacillales; Streptococcaceae. The record is from RNAcentral.
AUCAUUCAGUUGGGCACUCUAGCGAGACUGCCGGUAAUAAACCGGAGGAAGGUGGGGAGUGACGUCAAAUCAUCAUGCCCCUUAUGACCUGGGCUACACACGUGCUACAAUGGUUGGUACAACGAGUUGCGAGUCGGUGACGGCGAGCUAAUCUCUUAAAGCCAAUCUCAGUUCGGAUUGUAGGCUGCAACUCGCCUACAUGAAGUCGGAAUCGCUAGUAAUCGCGGAUCAGCACGCCGCGGUGAAUACGUUCCCGGGCCUU